This 90-nucleotide transfer RNA is filed under the name bacterium. RNAcentral describes it as "tRNA-Ser". It matches the Rfam family "tRNA". From Rfam's summary of the family: Transfer RNA (tRNA) molecules are approximately 80 nucleotides in length. The record is from RNAcentral.
GGAAAGGUGUCCGAGUGGUUUAAGGAGCACGCUUGGAAAGCGUGUGUACGGGAAACCGUACCGUGGGUUCGAAUCCCACCCUUUCCGCCA